GCCUCCAUCGUCUAGCGGCCCAGGACGUGGCCCUCUCAAGGCCAAAACGAGGAUUCGAAUUCCUCUGGAGGCGCCU
Molecule: transfer RNA, 76 nt
Filed under: Flexilinea flocculi
Lineage: Bacteria; Bacillati; Chloroflexota; Anaerolineae; Anaerolineales; Anaerolineaceae
Description: tRNA-Glu
Rfam family: tRNA
About the family: Transfer RNA (tRNA) molecules are approximately 80 nucleotides in length. Their secondary structure includes four short double-helical elements and three loops (D, anti-codon, and T loops).
Source: RNAcentral